GAGAUGAGAGAGGAUGGCCACGGCAAGAAAGAAGAAAGAAGGGAAAUUCUUUUUUUCUUUUAAUUUUUUUAACUCCUUUAUGCUAUAAUUAUUUCACAAAUUAAAUUAUUUAAUAUUAGACUUUAUUGCAUCAUGCUUAUGCAACUUUGAUGAUGUCAAAAAUUCUAAUUUUCUCUUCUUUUCUUUUUCCUUUAUUCUUUAAUUUAAUUUUAUUUUUCUAAAUUUUCAUUUGUCCAAUUUUAUUGGACGGUUAGGUCGUGAGUCACUUCUAGAGGUAAAUUGACCAAUUUGCCACUCGUCGGAUUGAUUCGGUUUGCAAAUAAUUCAGUAUUU
This 333-nucleotide unclassified non-coding RNA is filed under the name Hevea brasiliensis (rubber tree). The record is from RNAcentral. Lineage: Eukaryota; Viridiplantae; Streptophyta; Magnoliopsida; Malpighiales; Euphorbiaceae.